RNAcentral lists this ribosomal RNA (619 nucleotides) under Sphingobacterium sp. IITKGP-BTPF3. RNAcentral's name for it is "bacterial SSU rRNA". It matches the Rfam family "Bacterial small subunit ribosomal RNA", at positions 480 to 1103 of the family's 1533-position model. Lineage: Bacteria; Pseudomonadati; Bacteroidota; Sphingobacteriia; Sphingobacteriales; Sphingobacteriaceae. The record is from RNAcentral.
UGAAGAAUAAGGAUCGGCUAACUCCGUGCCAGCAGCCGCGGUAAUACGGAGGAUCCAAGCGUUAUCCGGAUUUAUUGGGUUUAAAGGGUGCGUAGGCGGUCCUAUAAGUCAGUGGUGAAAGACGGCAGCUUAACUGUCGCAGUGCCUUUGAUACUGUAGGACUUGAAUCUAUUUGAAGUGGGCGGAAUAAGACAAGUAGCGGUGAAAUGCAUAGAUAUGUCUUAGAACUCCGAUUGCGAAGGCAGCUCACUAAGUUAGUAUUGACGCUGAUGCACGAAAGCGUGGGGAUCAAACAGGAUUAGAUACCCUGGUAGUCCACGCCCUAAACGAUGAUAACUCGAUGUUUGCGAUACACAGUAAGCGUCCAAGCGAAAGCGUUAAGUUAUCCACCUGGGGAGUACGGUCGCAAGAUUGAAACUCAAAGGAAUUGACGGGGGCCCGCACAAGCGGAGGAGCAUGUGGUUUAAUUCGAUGAUACGCGAGGAACCUUACCCGGGCUUGAAAGUUAGUGAAUGAUCCAGAGACGGAUCAGUCCUUCGGGACACGAAACUAGGUGCUGCAUGGCUGUCGUCAGCUCGUGCCGUGAGGUGUUGGGUUAAGUCCCGCAACGAGCGCAACC